ACGGAGGAUCCGAGCGUUAUCCGGAUUUAUUGGGUUUAAAGGGAGCGUAGGUGGAAUGUUAAGUCAGUUGUGAAAGUUUGCGGCUCAACCGUAAAAUUGCAGUUGAAACUGUCAUUCUUGAGUACAGUAGAGGUGGGCGGAAUUCGUGGUGUAGCGGUGAAAUGCUUAGAUAUCACGAAGAACUCCAAUUGCGAAGGCAGCUCACUAGACUGUUACUGACACUGAGGCUCGAAAGUGUGGGUAUCAAACAG
RNAcentral lists this ribosomal RNA (251 nucleotides) under uncultured bacterium. RNAcentral describes it as "partial 16S ribosomal RNA". It matches the Rfam family "Bacterial small subunit ribosomal RNA", at positions 525 to 775 of the family's 1533-position model. The record is from RNAcentral.